GUACUCGCUUCUGUAGUACAUAUACUAAAAUUGGAACGAUACAAAGAAGAUUAGCAUGGCCCUGCACAAGGAUGAUAUGCAAAUUUAUGACAUGUUCCAUAUUAAA
This 106-nucleotide small nuclear RNA is filed under the name Castor canadensis (American beaver). The record is from RNAcentral. Lineage: Eukaryota; Metazoa; Chordata; Mammalia; Rodentia; Castoridae.